This 1119-nucleotide long non-coding RNA is filed under the name Cricetulus griseus (Chinese hamster). RNAcentral describes it as "lncRNA (ENSCGRG00015035472.1)". Lineage: Eukaryota; Metazoa; Chordata; Mammalia; Rodentia; Cricetidae. The record is from RNAcentral.
GCCAGAACCAGUUGCAGAGGCCCUUCCACUUGCUGGCAGAGGAGGAGCAGGGAUACAGAUGAGCCAAGGAAACAAGGGAAAGUAGUCAGGGAGGGCAAUAGCAUCUGGAUACAAUAGAGAAGGCCCAGUCGUGUGGAAAGUUGAUGAUGCCAGAGAGAGGAUGGUGGUGAUGGACAGCAUCCUUGGAUAGUUUCUUAUGAAGAGAGAAGAACUGGAAGUCUGAGAACGUGGCACGGGCGUUGGCGUGGCUGUGGGCCUGAGAACAGGGGAAGAAACCAUGGACACCACGAAGAAACGGGCAAGGCAGAGGCUUGGACACUUCGGAGAGAUAGUCGUCUCGGGCGAACCGGUUGGAGAAGAAGCACGCGCAGGAGAAAGAAGAAAGAAGUGGCCGAAUGUGGAGUAGAACAAGGUGCACUGGCUACCGGAAAGAUUGAUGAGAUGCAUGGAACCGAGAAAAACGGGACCUGGGCCCACAGGAGACAAUCUGAAACAGCUGGAGUGAAACACUGGACCUGUGUUCCUGAACCUUGAGGACAUCUGACCUACAGCGGAGGAAGAAGGGAGACACACCCAGUUCCAGUUUUAAGAGGCUUUCCUGAGUUCCAGCUUCCCUACAGACGGGCUACAUUCACCUCUCUGAAUCCGUGAGUGCUCAUCCAGGAACAGACUAAGAACCUGAUCAAAAAACAGCUUGCUUUCUUGCCACAGACAGACACACAAAACUGUUUUGCCAGUUUUCCCAUUGGGAGAAAGGACCCAUUUAGGACAGUUGGAUACUGGCAUAACCCAAAGCGGCAGAAGAUCCUUCACAAUGUUUAAACAAGACAUGGACAAAAGACUUUUUAGUUAACUUUCAAAGACUGAUAUUACAAACCUGAUGUUAGAACUUCGGACUUUAAGCAGAAAAUAGAUAAGUUUUGAAGGGACCAGCUCCCCUUUCGGCAGCCAUAACAGCCGAACACGUGCUUGCCAUAAACUUGCCUUGUCACUUAGAGGUCAGAUGCCUGCCUUGUGACAAGGAACCAAUCGGAAGUUAGUCACUGCCUCGUGACAAGGAACCAAUCAGAAGUUAGUUGGUGGCGCUAUGCUUUACGACCCUGGGUGUGCUUUACAGAC